Mytilus trossulus (common blue mussel) is the source of this 646-nucleotide long non-coding RNA. RefSeq lists it as uncharacterized. The record is from RefSeq and is a predicted model, not a curated record. The transcript has 3 exons. Lineage: Eukaryota; Metazoa; Mollusca; Bivalvia; Mytilida; Mytilidae.
GGGAGACAAACUGUAAACAUCCUGUUUUUUUGGCAGUGAAAAGUGCAAAACUUAUUUGCACCCACUGUAUCUCUUUUCGAAGCAGGCGAACGUAUCCUGAAGCAUAAAUUUUUAGAAAGACCAGCUUUUCCAUGCAUUGUAAGAUUUCCAGAAUAUAGAUCAUGUAGUUCCUGAUAAAAAAUAACACCAAAAGAUUGCUACGAUAAAACUGUUGAGUAACUAUUUGUAAUACAGAAUGCAUCAAGAUGGUGGUAUGCUACAUAUAUAAUAUUGAUACUAUGACAGAUGAGAAAAGAAACUGAAGACAUAACCAAAUGCUGAAGUCAGCAAAGAUUAAGAUAUAAGGAGUAGAUAUUUUCCUGAAGAUCUUAUUUAUGUCUCGAAUGUGAAGGGAACAGAAGCUAUCAUGAUGAUUCUUUAAAAAAAAGAUACAGAAACACAAGCUCCUGUAGACACUUAUGAAAAAGAAGAUGUUUUUGCAAUGAAUAUGUGUGAAUGUGAUAAAUUAUGGCAAAUCAACAUGGUCAAUUAACAACAAUAUGUUCUACAAAUUUCCUAGAUUUAUAAGUUUCAUAACAUUUAGUUGAGGCAAACUAAAGUUAGAUAACGGAAAACGAAAAAAUUGCAAAUAAAUAUUGUUAUUAAA